Molecule: ribosomal RNA, 203 nt
Filed under: uncultured bacterium
Lineage: Bacteria
Description: partial 16S ribosomal RNA
Rfam family: Bacterial small subunit ribosomal RNA
Source: RNAcentral
UACGUAGGGUGCAAGCGUUAAUCGGAAUUACUGGGCGUAAAGCGUGCGCAGGCGGUUUUGUAAGUCUGUCGUGAAAUCCCCGGCUCAACCUGGGAAUUGCGAUGGAGACUGCAAGGCUAGAAUCUGGCAGAGGGGGUAGAAUUCCACGUGUAGCAGUGAAACGCGUAGAGAUGGUGGAGGAACACCAGUGGCGAAGGCGGCCC